GCAUAUUCUGUGAGCAGGAAAGCGAGGGGAUCGCAAGACCUUGCGCUGAUUGAGCGGCCGAUAUCAGAUUAGCUAGUUGGUGAGGUAAAGGCUCACCAAGGCGACGAUCUGUAGCGGGUCUGAGAGGAUGAUCCGCCACACUGGAACUGAGACACGGUCCAGACUCCUACGGGAGGCAGCAGUGGGGAAUUUUGGACAAUGGGCGCAAGCCUGAUCCAGCCAUGCCGCGUGAGUGAAGAAGGCCUUCGGGUUGUAAAGCUCUUUCGGCCGGGAAGAAAUCGCACAGGUUAAUACCCUGUGUGGAUGACGGUACCGGAAUAAGAAGCACCGGCUAACUACGUG
Molecule: ribosomal RNA, 342 nt
Filed under: uncultured bacterium
Lineage: Bacteria
Description: bacterial SSU rRNA
Rfam family: Bacterial small subunit ribosomal RNA
Source: RNAcentral